CAGCAGCCGCGGGAAUACGUAGGUGGCAAGCGUUGUCCGGAAUUAUUGGGCGUUAAGAGCUCGCAGGCGGUUUCUUAAGUCUGAUGUGAAAGCCCCCGGCUCAACCGGGGAGGGUCAUUGGAAACUGGGAAACUUGAGUGCAGAAGAGGAGAGUGGAAUUCCACGUGUAGCGGUGAAAUGCGUAGAGAUGUGGAGGAACACCAGUGGCGAAGGCGACUCUCUGGUCUGUAACUGACGCUGAGGAGCGAAAGCGUGGGGAGCGAACAGGAUUAGAUACCCCUGUAGUCCCUGUCUCUUAUAC
This 301-nucleotide ribosomal RNA is filed under the name uncultured bacterium. Its description in RNAcentral is "partial 16S ribosomal RNA". It matches the Rfam family "Bacterial small subunit ribosomal RNA", at positions 509 to 807 of the family's 1533-position model. The record is from RNAcentral.